AGAAUGUGAUCGGCCUCAAAGUUGUAGAAGAAAAAAAGCUUAAUUAAAUAUUCUUUAAUAUUGUAUCAGGUUUCUGGCCGAGUCUUAUUCAAGUCUACUAAUUUAAUAUAUAGUGAAGUCUAUUUUAAUAUAUGAGAUUUUUCUUUCAAGAACAUGCUUCAAUACUCAAGUGUGAGUAUAAUAUAUUCCCCAACCGUGACCCUCCCAUAUAAACCAAAAAAGCCAUAUUCGAAUAGAGAAAAGCACCUGCACUGUUUGAAAAGAGUCAGUCGAAAUAAGACACUCCAUGCUCCUAUGCCUGUGCUUAUUCGCUGAACCACAAUUCACCCAACUUUGCUUUCUUCAGUCACUCAUUUUACACGCGUAUGUAUUCCACUACUAAAGCUAAAGUUUCAAAUAAAUAUUAAAAUAUGAAAGUAACUACAGGUACGUUACCUUAUAAAUAUAUAUAUAUGUAUUGUCCAAUCAAAUUGCACGAGUGAAUUCAACCAGUAGUACUAAGUAAGGUAUUGAUCCAUCCAUGGUGACGAAAUCCAAAAAUCAAAUUGAG
This 550-nucleotide long non-coding RNA is filed under the name Lathyrus oleraceus (garden pea). RNAcentral's name for it is "Pisum sativum (pea) long non-coding RNA (PSAT_LNC014663)". Lineage: Eukaryota; Viridiplantae; Streptophyta; Magnoliopsida; Fabales; Fabaceae. The record is from RNAcentral.